This 500-nucleotide ribosomal RNA is filed under the name uncultured bacterium. RNAcentral describes it as "partial 16S ribosomal RNA". It matches the Rfam family "Bacterial small subunit ribosomal RNA", at positions 30 to 523 of the family's 1533-position model. The record is from RNAcentral.
AUUGAACGCUGGCGGAAUGCUUUACACAUGCAAGUCGAGCGGCAGCACGGACUUCGGUCUGGUGGCGAGUGGCGAACGGGUGAGUAAUGUAUCGGAACGUGCCCAGUCGUGGGGGAUAACGUAGUGAAAAUUACGCCAAUACCGCAUACGAGCUAUGGAUGAAAGCGGGGGAUCGCAAGACCUCGCGCGAUUGGAGCGGCCGAUAUCAGAUUAGGUAGUUGGUGGGGUAAAGGCCCACCAAGCCAACGAUCUGUUGCUGGUCUGAGAGGACGACCAGCCACACUGGAACUGAGACACGGUCCAGACUCCUACGGGAGGCAGCAGUGGGGAAUUUUGGACAAUGGGCGAAAGCCUGAUCCAGCCAUUCCGCGUGCAGGAUGAAGGCCCUCGGGUUGUAAACUGCUUUUGUACAGAACGAAAAGGUUUCUACUAAUACUAGGAGCUCAUGACGGUACUGUAAGAAUAAGCACCGGCUAACUACGUGCCAGCCGCCGCCGUAA